UUUAUGUGUGUAUUUACAUCUAUCCAAUCAUCAAAUGAUAAAAACGCUUACAUGGGAGAGUUAACGAAUCCAAUAAAAAAUAAUGAAAACUUUAAAGAGAAUGUUAUAAAUUAUAUUGAAAAAAUUGUAAAAGAUUAUAGUGAUGAUAUAAGUAUUAUAAAAAGUGAUAUACAUAAUAUUUUUUAGAUAUCGAAGGAGCAUUUGAAAAAUUAUCUGAUGAUGUUGCAAAAACUUUAUCAGAUUAUGGUUACUCCAUUGAGGUAGAACUAAACCGUAUAGAAGGUGUUGUCGAAUUGUUUGUUGAAAGUAAUAUUUAAACAAAUAAAUAAAUGAAUGUAUAAACA
This 344-nucleotide long non-coding RNA is filed under the name Piliocolobus tephrosceles (Ugandan red Colobus). Its description in RNAcentral is "lncRNA (ENSPTEG00000013370.1)". The record is from RNAcentral. Lineage: Eukaryota; Metazoa; Chordata; Mammalia; Primates; Cercopithecidae.